CCGAGUUAGGGUCUCCUCCGUGAGGCCCGACCUCCCAACCCCGUGUCUAAUAAACCUGUUUGUGUUGCUUCGGCGGAACGGCAGUCGUUUCUCUCCUUCACCGGGGGGAGAUAACCGUCGCCGGGGGAUAUACGGUCUCACGACCGCCCCUGGAGAGCGUCCGCCGAUGGCCCCAAUCAAAACUACCAAACCCAAACCAUGGAACUAAAAUUUUCUGAAUCAGACUUUUGAUAUACCAAUCAAAAACA
Molecule: unclassified non-coding RNA, 248 nt
Filed under: uncultured Trimmatostroma
Lineage: Eukaryota; Fungi; Ascomycota; Dothideomycetes; Mycosphaerellales; Mycosphaerellaceae
Description: sequence contains ITS1
Source: RNAcentral